GUUCCUAUUGUCCAAUAAACCUUCCAUUUUACUGGCUGGCUGAGAGUCAGAGUGAAUCCCAGGAAGAGGGGUGCAGGCCCCAGACUCCGCCACACUCUGUAACACCCCCCAUGUGCUCUGAGCUGAGAACUCAGCUGACAGGAGGAAUCCACUUGCACAACUCAUCUUCACGGAGGGAGGGCAGAACAGCCAAUGUCUUUUGUCCUCUUUAAUGUCCCACAAUGGUCUGUCUGGUGUCAAUGCCCCUUCCCUGUUGGACAGGACGUAACACCUUCUGCUGGAAACCAGCACUUCACACCAGUUACUGUCUCUCUCCAGUCUGAUGAUUUACACGGUCACCGAGGCUCACAAUACAACCGCUCAAAUAGUAACAUCUGUAUUCCAUAUUGUAAGGUCCUGCCAUCGCAGCGAGAAAGCCCACGCGUCCCAUGGUAACCGAGGGGACGCUGAUGGUACAUGCAGCCGCUUUGCCCUUUGCUCGACUAUAAACCCCACGUCUCCGGUUGCCCCUCCGGGACAUCUGUCUGGCAAGCUACAGAAGGAAGCAGCUGGCGGCCGUCUCCGAAGUCGGAGGUGCCCAAGGAGGCCUGCAGACAAAUUAGCUGUGACUGGCUCUCCAGACACCUCUUCCCGGGGUGGCCUUUGGUCAUGUUAGCUGGAGGGAGGAGAAACGGCAUUUGGAAGAAGAGUCAAAUGAGAAAAGGGCACCCGCGUGUGCAGGAGGAUGUCGCUGCUGGUGGAUAAGAGGCAUUGGCUGGAAACACACUAGCACGUGAUGUGGCUGUUUGCCUGCUCGGAACUGGGCUGAGAACCUCCCCCGUCCCCGGCACCAGCCAGGGCCCUGUGUUGCUUCUUUAUCGCAGCAGGGCCUGUCAGCUCAUGUGACUGUCCAGAACCCCCCAGGUGCUGGGAGUAAUUAUGACCACGGAUGAAACCUAUCCACUUUCCAGAGACCCAUCAGCUUGGUUGGUGAGAGCAUCCCAGGGUAGCUCUGGUAAUUCAAUCAGAGUCUGUAAUUCGCUAAUGGGCAGGAUCGAUUCUGGGCCGCAGCCGAAAGGGGCUUUGUUUCCAUCGCCCCAGCCCUUUGCCAGCUGGCAAGCUGCUGCCAGGUGAGAAUGACAGAACUUCACCCCCUGGCGUAUUCCUCUGUGGCAGAGCAGAGCGCGCCUUGCUGGAGCCUGUCUGGACCAUAUUCCCCAGGGCCAGGCCAGGAUCCUUCCAUACAAUCCAGGAUCCAGGCCUUUGUCCAGCCUUAAGCGUCCCAAGCGAUGGGGGACUAUUCCACAAUCUAGCACAGAGGUCCCCAAACUGUGGGGUGCGCCCCCCUGGGGGGGGCAUGGAGAAACGUUCGUAGGGCACGACGGGGUCUGGGACAGCCCCCACAGGGGGUGUGGAGGGAGCGCCACCCAGCCCCGCUCCGCUCCCAGCUCUGCUGUGGCCCCAUCCGCGGCUCCUGGUCCCAAUCCCGGCCCCAUAGCCUCAGCCCCGGACCACAGCCCGGCUGUAGCUCUGCACCAGGCCCUGGCCCUGGCCCCAGUCCAGCCCUCAGCCUCUGGCCGCAGCUCCAUUCCCAGCCCCAGUCUCAGCCCUCUUACCCCUGUCUGUGUCUCAGGGGGUGGGGGGAGGAAAAGGGUAUUGAGAGGGGUAAGGGGGGCCAUGACCCUGAAAAGUUUGGGAACCACUGGUUUACCAGAUUUCAUUGUCCGAAAUCAAAGAUGCUGUAGGCGCACUUCAGCCUCUUUAGCAGAUCACUUUUCUCUGAGGUGUCUGGAGCACACGAGCCCUGAAGAAACAUGUCCUUGAGGGCAGUGGCCUUAGCAGGGAGGGCUUGGAUUGAGGCAUGUUUCCAUGGGGACUGUUGUGAUAAUUGGACUGACAAAUUGACCCUAAUGGUGAGCUCAGUUGUAAAAAGUCUAUGAAAGUUCACGAGAUGUCACCAUAACCUAUAAAGGCAAGUGUUGAUGGACAGUAGGGCCAGUAGUGUUGUGUUAUAAGCAGGUGCACAAGAACUGGCUAGAGAGACUGGAUUAGCCCAGAUUAAAAAGAGACCACAUUAUGAUAACUCAAGGACAGUGGUGUUGAAACCAUGCUGGGUAAAAAGAGAAGAUAUGGACCUGGAAAUGAAUAGACCAGCAUUGAUGUGUCAGAUAUUAGGCUUCACGCGUGGACAAAAUAAUGAGGGGCCAGGCUAUUCCACCCACCAUUCCCUUUGUGAGUCCUUCAAGAAAGAGACUUUGGGGAGAGAUUAGGGAAGAACAGAUGGAGGCUGCUGGAGUGAGUGUCACCAUCAUGGCUGCCACCCCCACUGUCUCCUGGGACCCUGGGCCUUUGUCCUCCUGAUCUGGAGGGAUGUCUGGGCCAGACUGGGCCAGAGAGAGGGACCCAGAUGAAUCACCACCUCUGCCGGCUCCAGCUGAAACCCAGCCACCACCUGGGAUGAAACGGGAUCUGACUUUAACAACAGCUCCAAUCCAUCUCAACUCCCUUCUCUUUCCACUCAAGGAUGGUUAUUACCAUCUUUGGUAAGUACUAAGAGACUGUCAGUCAAGGGGCUUUUUCCUUCUGAAAACUCUCUCCAGCUAAAGGCAAAUGGAGCAAGGGAUGGUGUUAAAAUCAAAGCCUGACUCAGUACUUUCCAUUUCAAAUGCUUUCUCUGGUUUUCUUUCUCUUCUGUAUAAUAAAAGGGCAGAAGGACUUUUAGUAAUGUGUUUGCCCUGCUCUGAAGCAGGCUGAAGUCUGUGUACCAAACCUCAGACCUUAUUUACCACUGUUUAAGGUUGGACAGUGCCUGGGUUAUAUUAACAGCUUUGGCUCAUUUAAUCCAUCUAAAUAACUACAACAAGGCCCUCCGCUGAGAUAGUCUUGAUAUGGCCAGCCUUGGCUGAGGUGCCCUUACCUAAGGAGGUCUUAAAGGAAGACCUUUCGCUGACAGGUCAGUGAAGAAAAUGUACAAUAAAGCCAACUUUAAGUAUUCUCCA
This is a non-coding RNA of Caretta caretta (loggerhead turtle), 2978 nucleotides long. The record is from RefSeq and is a predicted model, not a curated record. Lineage: Eukaryota; Metazoa; Chordata; Testudines; Cheloniidae.